CGGUACGUACUGGCAUUGUUGGUUUCUCCCUUCUGACGAACCAUGAUGUCAUUUAUUUGGUGUUGUGGGGAAUCAGGACUGUUACUUUGAAAAAAUUAGAGUGUUUAAAGCAGGCUCACGCUUGAAUACAUUAGCAUGGAAUAAUGAAAUAGGACGUUUGAUUCUAUUUUGUUGGUUUCUAGGAUCGACGUAAUGAUUAAUAGGGAUAGUUGGGGGCAUUAGUAUUCAAUUGUCAGAGGUGAAAUUCUUGGAUUCAUUGAAGACUAACUACUGCGAAAGCAUUUGCCAAGGAUGUUUUCAUUAAUCAAGAACGAAAGUUAGGGGAUCGAAGACGAUCAGAUACCGUCGUAGUCUUAACCAUAAACUAUGCCGACUAGGGAUCGGAUGAUGUUAAUUUUUUAAUGACUCAUUCGGCGCCUUACG
Molecule: ribosomal RNA, 423 nt
Filed under: uncultured Glomeromycotina
Lineage: Eukaryota; Fungi; Glomeromycota
Description: SSU rRNA
Rfam family: Eukaryotic small subunit ribosomal RNA
Source: RNAcentral